UACGUAGGGGGCUAGCGUUGUCCGGAAUCAUUGGGCGUAAAGAGCGCGUAGGCGGCCAGAUAAGUCCGGUGUGAAAGUCACAGGCUCAACCUGUGAAUGCCGCUGGAAACUGUCUGGCUAGAGUCCGGGAGGGGCGAGUGGAAUUCCUGGUGUAGCGGUGAAAUGCGCAGAUAUCAGGAGGAACACCGGUGGCGAAGGCGGAUCUCUGGGCCUUACCUGACGCUGAGGCGCGAAAGCUAGGGGAGCGAACAGG
This 253-nucleotide ribosomal RNA is filed under the name uncultured bacterium. RNAcentral describes it as "partial 16S ribosomal RNA". It matches the Rfam family "Bacterial small subunit ribosomal RNA", at positions 524 to 776 of the family's 1533-position model. The record is from RNAcentral.